GGCUGUCCUGGCCUCAGGAAGCAGGUUCAUAGGGCUGUCCUGGCCUCAGGAAGCAGGUUCAUAGGGCUGUCCUGGCCUCAGGAAGCAGGUUCAUAAGGCUGUCCUGGUCUCAGGAAGCAGGUUCAUAGGGUUGUCCUGGCCUCAGGAAGCAGGUCCUCUGUGGUUCAUUCUCUCCAGAUCUGUGUAAGAAUGGUGUUAUUUCUCAUUUCAGAACUUCGGAAAUUCAGAGGACACCAGACUGGUUAUUCAACAGACACCAGCAUAAGAAGGUUGCAAACUAAAAAAAAAAAAAAAAAAAA
Molecule: long non-coding RNA, 299 nt
Organism: Peromyscus leucopus (white-footed mouse)
Lineage: Eukaryota; Metazoa; Chordata; Mammalia; Rodentia; Cricetidae
Exons: 2
Source: RefSeq, a predicted model, not a curated record